GAAAGUUCCGGCGGUAUGGGAUGGACCCGCGGCCUAUCAGCUUGUUGGUGGGGUAAUGGCCUACCAAGGCGACGACGGGUAGCCGGCCUGAGAGGGUGACCGGCCACACUGGGACUGAGACACGGCCCAGACUCCUACGGGAGGCAGCAGUGGGGAAUAUUGCACAAUGGGCGAAAGCCUGAUGCAGCGACGCCGCGUGAGGGAUGACGGCCUUCGGGUUGUAAACCUCUUUCAGCAGGGACGAAGCGCAAGUGACGGUACCUGCAGAAGAAGCACCGGCUAACUACGUGCCAGCAGCCGCGGUAAUACGUAGGGUGCGAGCGUUGUCCGGAAUUAUUGGGCGUAAAGAGCUCGUAGGCGGUUUGUCGCGUCGGCCGUGAAAACUUGGGGCUUAACUCCAAGCUUGCGGUCGAUACGGGCAGACUUGAGUUCGGCAGGGGAGACUGGAAUUCCUGGUGUAGCGGUGAAAUGCGCAGAUAUCAGGAGGAACACCGGUGGCGAAGGCGGGUCUCUGGGCCGAUACUGACGCUGAGGAGCGAAAGCGUGGGGAGCGAACAGGAUUAGAUACCCUGGUAGUCCACGCCGUAAACGGUGGGUGCUAGGUGUGGGGGGGCUUCCACGCCCUCUGUGCCGCAGCUAACGCAUU
This 646-nucleotide ribosomal RNA is filed under the name Lentzea albida. RNAcentral describes it as "bacterial SSU rRNA". It matches the Rfam family "Bacterial small subunit ribosomal RNA", at positions 202 to 861 of the family's 1533-position model. The record is from RNAcentral. Lineage: Bacteria; Bacillati; Actinomycetota; Actinomycetes; Pseudonocardiales; Pseudonocardiaceae.